ACGGCCUACGGGAGGCAGCAGUAGGGAAUAUUGCUCAAUGGGGGAAACCCCGAAGCAGCAACGCCGCGUGGAGGAUGAAGGUUUUCGGAUUGUAAACUCUUUUUGUUAGAGAAGAUAAUGACGGUAUCUAACGAAUAAGCACCGGCUAACUCCGUGCCAGCAGCCGCGGUAAUACGGAGGGUGCAAGCGUUACUCGGAAUCACUGGGCGUAAAGAGCGCGUAGGCGGGAUAGCAAGUUAGAUGUGAAAUCCUAUGGCUUAACCA
RNAcentral lists this ribosomal RNA (264 nucleotides) under uncultured bacterium. Its description in RNAcentral is "partial 16S ribosomal RNA". It matches the Rfam family "Bacterial small subunit ribosomal RNA", at positions 335 to 615 of the family's 1533-position model. The record is from RNAcentral.